AACGAACGCUGGCGGCAUGCCUAACACAUGCAAGUCGAACGAGCCCUUCGGGUCUAGUGGCGCACGGGUGCGUAACGCGUGGGAACCUGCCCUUAGGUUCGGAAUAACUCCCCGAAAGGGGUGCUAAUACCGGAUAAUGUCUUCGGACCAAAGAUUUAUCGCCUUUGGAUGGGCCCGCGUUGGAUUAGCUAGUUGGUAGGGUAAAAGCCUACCAAGGCGACGAUCCAUAGCUGGUCUGAGAGGAUGAUCAGCCACACUGGGACUGAGAAACGGCCCAGACUCCUACGGGAGGCAGCAGUGGGGAAUAUUGGACAAUGGGCGAAAGCCUGAUCCAGCAAUGCCGCGUGAGUGAUGAAGGCCUUAGGGUUGUAAAGCUCUUUUACCCGGGAUGAUAAUGACAGUACCGGGAGAAUAAGCUCCGGCUAACUCCGUG
RNAcentral lists this ribosomal RNA (433 nucleotides) under uncultured bacterium. RNAcentral describes it as "partial 16S ribosomal RNA". It matches the Rfam family "Bacterial small subunit ribosomal RNA", at positions 29 to 507 of the family's 1533-position model. The record is from RNAcentral.